UUGCCUCCAUUCCACGCCGCUAUCAAAGCAACCUGGGCUUCCAUAACACCUCUGAAGUGCAACAGGCUGAUUGCUUCCAUGCCACGCAGAAUUGAUGCAGUAAUUCAUGCAAAAG
Bufo bufo (common toad) is the source of this 115-nucleotide long non-coding RNA. RefSeq lists it as uncharacterized. The transcript is spliced from 3 exons. The record is from RefSeq and is a predicted model, not a curated record. NCBI's taxonomy places the organism in Eukaryota, Metazoa, Chordata, Amphibia, Anura, Bufonidae.